Molecule: ribosomal RNA, 482 nt
Filed under: uncultured bacterium
Lineage: Bacteria
Description: bacterial SSU rRNA
Rfam family: Bacterial small subunit ribosomal RNA
Source: RNAcentral
UUGAACGCUGGCGGCAUGCUUUACACAUGCAAGUCGAGCGGCAGCGCGGGCGCAACCCUGGCGGCGAGCGGCGAACGGGUGAGUAACAUAUCGGAACGUACCCUGUCGUGGGGGAUAACACCGCGAAAGCUGUGCUAAUACCGCAUACGACCUGAGGGUGAAAGCGGGGGAUCGCCAGACCUCGCGCGAUAGGAGCGGCCGAUAUCGGAUUAGCUUGUUGGUGAGGUAAAGGCUCACCAAGGCGACGAUCCGUAGCUGGUCUGAGAGGACGACCAGCCACACUGGAACUGAGACACGGUCCAGACUCCUACGGGAGGCAGCAGUGGGGAAUUUUGGACAAUGGGGGCAAGCCUGAUCCAGCCAUGCCGCGUGAGUGAAGAAGGCCUUCGGGUUGUAAAGCUCUUUCAGCAGGAACGAAACGGUGGCUACUAAUACUAGCUACUAAUGACGGUACCUGAAGAAGAAGCACCGGCUAACUACGU